UCACUGCUGAUGAGUCCCAUAUUAGGACGAAACGGACGUCCAGUGU
Non-coding RNA from Schistosoma curassoni, 46 nucleotides. Lineage: Eukaryota; Metazoa; Platyhelminthes; Trematoda; Strigeidida; Schistosomatidae. The record is from Rfam.